This 274-nucleotide ribosomal RNA is filed under the name uncultured bacterium. Its description in RNAcentral is "partial 16S ribosomal RNA". It matches the Rfam family "Bacterial small subunit ribosomal RNA", at positions 523 to 796 of the family's 1533-position model. The record is from RNAcentral.
AUACGGAGGGGGCUAGCGUUGUUCGGAAUCACUGGGCGUAAAGCGCGCGUAGGUGGACUAAUCAGUUGAGGGUGAAAUCCCGGGGCUCAACCUCGGAACUGCCUUCAAUACUGUUAGUCUUGAGACCGAGAGAGGUGAGUGGAAUUCCUAGUGUAGAGGUGAAGUUCGUAGAUAUUAGGAAGAACACCAGUGGCGAAGGCGGCUCACUGGCUCGGUACUGACGCUGAGGUGCGAAAGCGUGGGGAGCAAACAGGAUUAGAAACCCCAGUAGUCC